AAACGACUCUCGGCAACGGAUAUCUCGGCUCUUGCAUCGAUGAAGAACGUAGCGAAAUGCGAUACUUGGUGUGAAUUGCAGAAUCCCGUGAACCAUCGAGUCUUUGAACGCAAGUUGCGCCAGAAGCCAUUAGGCCGAAGGCACGCCUGCCUGGGUGUCACA
Molecule: ribosomal RNA, 162 nt
Filed under: Swartzia sprucei var. tessellata
Lineage: Eukaryota; Viridiplantae; Streptophyta; Magnoliopsida; Fabales; Fabaceae
Description: 5.8S ribosomal RNA
Rfam family: 5.8S ribosomal RNA
About the family: 5.8S ribosomal RNA (5.8S rRNA) is a component of the large subunit of the eukaryotic ribosome.
Source: RNAcentral